ACGUAGGUGGCAAGCGUUGUCCGGAUUUACUGGGUGUAAAGGGCGUGCAGCCGGGAAUGCAAGUCAGAUGUGAAAUCCAUGGGCUUAACCCAUGAACUGCAUUUGAAACUGUAUUUCUUGAGUACUGGAGAGGCAAUCGGAAUUCCUAGUGUAGCGGUGAAAUGCGUAGAUAUUAGGAGGAACACCAGUGGCGAAGGCGGAUUGCUGGACAGCAACUGACGGUGAGGCGCGAAAGUGUGGGGAGCAAACAG
This 251-nucleotide ribosomal RNA is filed under the name uncultured bacterium. RNAcentral's name for it is "partial 16S ribosomal RNA". It matches the Rfam family "Bacterial small subunit ribosomal RNA", at positions 525 to 775 of the family's 1533-position model. The record is from RNAcentral.